This 816-nucleotide ribosomal RNA is filed under the name uncultured Gammaproteobacteria bacterium. RNAcentral's name for it is "bacterial SSU rRNA". It matches the Rfam family "Bacterial small subunit ribosomal RNA", at positions 28 to 840 of the family's 1533-position model. The record is from RNAcentral. Lineage: Bacteria; Pseudomonadati; Pseudomonadota; Gammaproteobacteria.
AUUGAACGCUGGCGGCAGGCCUAAGACAUGCAAGUCGAGCGAGAAAGUACUUCGGUACGAGUACAGCGGCGGACGGGUGAGUAACGCGUAGGAAUCUACCUAGUAGUGGGGGACAACUCGUGGAAACGCGAGCUAAUACCGCAUACGCCCUACGGGGGAAAGCGGGGGAUCUUCGGACCUCGUGCUAUUAGAUGAGCCUGCGUAAGAUUAGCUAGUUGGUGGGGUAAAGGCCUACCAAGGCGACGAUCUUUAGCUGGUCUGAGAGGAUGAUCAGCCACACCGGGACUGAGACACGGCCCGGAUCUCCUACGGGAGGCAGCAGUCGGGAAUAUUGCGCAAUGGGCGAAAGCCUGACGCAGCCAUGCCGCGUGUGUGAAGAAGGCCCUAGGGUUGUAAAGCACUUUCAAUUGGGAGGAAAAGCUAAUGGCUAAUAGCCAUUAGCCCUGACGUUACCUUUAGAAGAAGCACCGGCUAACUCCGUGCCAGCAGCCGCGGUAAUACGGAGGGUGCAAGCGUUAAUCGGAAUUACUUGGGCGUAAAGCGCGCGUAGGCGGCUCUUUAAGUCGGAUGUGAAAGCCCCGGGCUCAACCUGGGAACUGCAUCCGAUACUGGGGAGCUAGAGUGUAGGAGAGGGAGGUAGAAUUCCAUGUGUAGCAGUGAAAUGCGUAGAUAUAUGGAGGAAUACCAGUGGCGAAGGCGGCCUCCUGGCUUAACACUGACGCUGAGGUGCGAAAGCGUGGGGAGCAAACGGGAUUANAUACCCCGGUAGUCCACGCCGUAAACGAUGUCUACUAGCUGUAGGGGUACUUGAGACCU